AGUGAACGCUGGCGGUAGGCCUAACACAUGCAAGUCGAACGGCAGCACAGUAAGGGCUUGCUCUUACGGGUGGCGAGUGGCGGACGGGUGAGGAAUACAUCGGAAUCUACUUUUUCGUGGGGGAUAACGUAGGGAAACUUACGCUAAUACCGCAUACGACCUACGGGUGAAAGCAGGGGAUCUUCGGACCUUGCGCGAUUGAAUGAGCCGAUGUCGGGUUAGCUAGUUGGCGGGGUAAAGGCCCACCAAGGCGACGAUCCGUAGCUGGUCUGAGAGGAUGAUCAGCCACACUGGAACUGAGACACGGUCCAGACUCCUACGGGAGGCAGCAGUGGGGAAUAUUGGACAAUGGGCGCAAGCCUGAUCCAGCCAUACCGCGUGGGUGAAGAAGGCCUUCGGGUUGUAAAGCCCUUUUGUUGGGAAAGAAAAGCAGCAGGUUAAUACCCCGCUGUUCUGACGGUACCCAAAGAAUAAGCACCGGCUAACUUCGUG
This 492-nucleotide ribosomal RNA is filed under the name uncultured bacterium. RNAcentral describes it as "partial 16S ribosomal RNA". It matches the Rfam family "Bacterial small subunit ribosomal RNA", at positions 29 to 507 of the family's 1533-position model. The record is from RNAcentral.